GACGGAGGGUGCAAGCGUUAUUCGGAAUCAUUGGGCGUAAAGAGCGUGUAGGCGGCCGGUUAAGUCAGGUGUGAAAGCCCGGGGCUCAACCCCGGAAGUGCACUUGAUACUGGUCGGCUUGAGUUCGGGAGAGGGAAGCCGAAUUCCUGGUGUAGAGGUGAAAUUCGUAGAUAUCAGGAGGAACACCGGUGGCGAAGGCGGCUUCCUGGACCGAAACUGACGCUGAGAAGCGAAAGCGUGGGGAGCAAACAGG
Molecule: ribosomal RNA, 253 nt
Filed under: uncultured bacterium
Lineage: Bacteria
Description: partial 16S ribosomal RNA
Rfam family: Bacterial small subunit ribosomal RNA
Source: RNAcentral